UACGUAGGGUGCGAGCGUUGUCCGGAAUUAUUGGGCGUAAAGAGCUCGUAGGCGGUGUGUCACGUCGUUCGUGAAAACCUGCAGCUUAACUGUGGGCGUGCGGUCGAUACGGGCAUCACUGGAGUUCGGCAGGGGAGACUGGAAUUCCUGGUGUAGCGGUGAAAUGCGCAGAUAUCAGGAGGAACACCGGUGGCGAAGGCGGGUCUCUGGGCCGAUAUCGACGCUGAGGAGCGAAAGCGUGGGGAGCGAACAGG
RNAcentral lists this ribosomal RNA (254 nucleotides) under uncultured bacterium. Its description in RNAcentral is "partial 16S ribosomal RNA". It matches the Rfam family "Bacterial small subunit ribosomal RNA", at positions 524 to 776 of the family's 1533-position model. The record is from RNAcentral.